RNAcentral lists this long non-coding RNA (373 nucleotides) under Apteryx haastii (Great spotted kiwi). RNAcentral's name for it is "lncRNA (ENSAHAG00000005738.1)". Lineage: Eukaryota; Metazoa; Chordata; Aves; Apterygiformes; Apterygidae. The record is from RNAcentral.
GGGAGGGGUCAAAGUUACUCUGCCCGGGGGAAAGUGCGGGUCCGGGGGGGACGCGAGUAGCAGCGCGGCCGCCUCGCUCCCCAGGGCUUUCUGCUGGGCUCUGGUGUACUUUCCUCCACUAGUCAUGCAGCUUCCCUCCCACCUGAGCCUGGGAACUCCUGGCACUUAACUGUGGAGAGCCUCUUCCUCUGUACCGCUCAUCUUCAGGCAGCAAAACCUGGCUUCAGUAAAACAGCGCUUCCCGUUCCAAACCGGCCUUCCUUUCUCCAGUGUGUUGGGAUCUUUACAGCAGCCCAUGCUGCAGCGCCUCGCCUGUUCCACUCGAACUGCCUGCACCGCUGGCUUGGACCUUACCUAGGAUAAAUCUCAGCGU